ACACUGAUGGUGAAACGGUAUCAUGCUUGCCUUCCAAGUAUAUCUAUCAGCAAGCGGCGCGGGUUCGACUCCCGCUCAGUGUA
Postia placenta Mad-698-R is the source of this 83-nucleotide non-coding RNA. The record is from Rfam. Lineage: Eukaryota; Fungi; Basidiomycota; Agaricomycetes; Polyporales; Adustoporiaceae.